AAGUUUUUUUUUUUUUUUUAAAUAGUACUUAGAGAAAACAGAAAUUCAUUUGAAGAGUUAGCCUGAAAUGGUAAACCCCACAAGCAACCAAUCAAAAAAUCUUCAGAAGUACAAAGACAAAUUCGACUGUUUCGUCAGUCAUGUGAAAUUCUAAUACAGUAAACGCAAUCACCAUAAUCCAAAAGAAAACUAAAAUAAAAAUAAAAUAUCCAAGAAAAUCACCUGAAAUGGUAAACCCCAAUGCCA
This 246-nucleotide unclassified non-coding RNA is filed under the name Hevea brasiliensis (rubber tree). The record is from RNAcentral. Lineage: Eukaryota; Viridiplantae; Streptophyta; Magnoliopsida; Malpighiales; Euphorbiaceae.